Perognathus longimembris pacificus (Pacific pocket mouse) is the source of this 433-nucleotide long non-coding RNA. RefSeq lists it as uncharacterized. The record is from RefSeq and is a predicted model, not a curated record. The transcript has 4 exons. NCBI's taxonomy places the organism in Eukaryota, Metazoa, Chordata, Mammalia, Rodentia, Heteromyidae.
AGAUACAGCUUUUCCAAGGAUUUUCCAAGGGAGCCAAUCGAGGCAGGAAAAGGAACAGGCGGCCUGGAAUGCCAAGCAUCAAUCGAAGACUCUGGACGUCCACUUUCAAAGUGCGGUGAGACUCUGCGGUGUGGCCAGUAUUGGUGUUCCCUUGGUUAACAAGCCUGUUUGAAUCCCAGGGUGUUCAUCUGCUGCUGUGGAAAGCUGUGAGACGAAGGUGUCAUCUUAAAUUUGUCCCCAAUAUACCUGAUGACCCAGCCCAACCCUGAUGGGGGCCACAGGACCAGGUGUGCCCUUCCAGCGCUCUCCACCCGGGGCCUCUCCGUACAGUACAGAUUCCCUGCCCUCGAGGAACGUAACGCCGAUCAGGGAUCGCCCAGGCCUCACCCUCUCAGGAUGGUGGGCACCGGGCACGGAGAUGCGGAGAUGCGGG